This is a long non-coding RNA of Photinus pyralis (common eastern firefly), 710 nucleotides long. RefSeq lists it as uncharacterized. The record is from RefSeq and is a predicted model, not a curated record. The transcript has 2 exons. NCBI's taxonomy places the organism in Eukaryota, Metazoa, Arthropoda, Insecta, Coleoptera, Lampyridae.
CAUUACGAUUUACGAAUAUAUGUUUAUUCAUUAUAACAGCCUGUGAUGAAAACAAUAACCUAACCUAACCUACCUUUUUAAUUAAUAACAUUGCAACUUUUGACGUUUCUUUCGCAUGCGCAAAUUGUACGGAGUUUAGGCCUUCUACGAAGUGGCACUACUUCAAUUUCUUCUUCUUCAUCAUUCGAAAUAAAAUCGAAAUUGCAAAACAUCACAUACAAUAAUGGCGCAAAAAAAUAUUCAAACAAACAAAACACUUUAGAGGUUAGGACUACCAGAAAAUCUGCUAGUCAAUCAUACUAUUAGUCAACGCCAUUUUUUUUCUUUGACUAGAGGUGGUAAAACGACAAAGUGACGGUCAACUGUUUGUCAAGCGUUGACUACCAGUCGACUAGAGGUGGUAAAACCGAGCCUUAAAGUUGUUGAUUUUUGUGAUCAAAUCAAGGACAAGUCUCCAAUGCGAGUUACGUAAAUUAUUUGCGAUGGUAAAGGACACAAGAGCGGUUAAGAAAGGUUGUAAUUAUAGCAUAUCCAUUGAAAAAGACACUAGUCAACAAUAUACGUUUAAAUGAAAUGGUUUCAACAUUUGCUUUUGCGUGUAAUUAUACUUAAUACCAUUUUUUGUAUUAUAUUUAUUGUUAAUCAAAUAUAAGUAUUAUCUUUGUUUGUGAUAUUGUAUUCCUUUUUAAAUUAUACAUUAGUGAACUUGA